UAGGGUGUAGCUCAGUGGCAGAGCACUCACCUAGCACGUUUGAGGGCCUGGGUUCCAUCCCCAGUACCCAAA
Non-coding RNA from Heterocephalus glaber (naked mole-rat), 72 nucleotides. The record is from Rfam. Lineage: Eukaryota; Metazoa; Chordata; Mammalia; Rodentia; Bathyergidae.